AACGAACGCUGGCGGCAUGCCUAACACAUGCAAGUCGAACCAGACCUUCGGGUCUUGUGGCGCACGGGUGCGUAACGCGUGGGAACCUUCCCUUAGGUUCGGAAUAACUCCCCGAAAGGGGUGCUAAUACCGGAUAAUGUCUUCUGACCAAUGAUUUAUCGCCUUUGGAUGUGCUCGCGUUGGAUUAGCUUGUUGGUAGGGUAAAAGCAUACCAAGGCGACGAUCCAUAGCUGGUCUGAGAGGAUGAUCAGCCACACUGGGACUGAGACACGGCCCAGACUCCUACGGGAGGCAGCAGUGGGGAAUAUUGGAAAAUGGGCGAAAGCAUGAUCCAGCAAUGCCGGGUGAGUGAUGAAGGCCUUAGGGUUGUAAAGCUCUUUUACCCGGGAUGAUAAUGACAGUACCGGGAGAAUAAGCUCCGGCUAACUCCGUG
Molecule: ribosomal RNA, 433 nt
Filed under: uncultured bacterium
Lineage: Bacteria
Description: partial 16S ribosomal RNA
Rfam family: Bacterial small subunit ribosomal RNA
Source: RNAcentral